AUUUGAUUUUGGUUUACUUGCCUAGUAGCAAUAAAAUAAGAUACAUUGUUUUAUGAUACAGGGAGGGUUAGAAAAUUCUUAUUUUUUAUUAUUGAUCUCAUCCAUGGGAAGACCAAAUUAUAGGAUUUUGUACUUGCCCUUUCUCUUUCUCUCUCUUUAAAAAAAAAGAGAAAUAUUCAGUAUUUCUCUUAAUGCAUCCAAAUUCCUUUUAAAAAUGAGAACCAGAAAACCUAAAGUAUUACUUGAUAAUUAUAGCAAAUGUUCUAAAAUUUUGUAUGAUGUUAUGGUUAUUGUGAGGGGAAAAAAAGCCAGAGGAGAUAGGAAGAAAAACUGUUAAAAUGAAGAAACACCUAUAUAUGGCACAUACAUGUAUAGACCAGGGUGAAGGCAAAUAUGCAAUAAUGGAAUAAAGCAAAAACAGGUACCUCACAUUCUGUUUGAUAUAAUUUUCCUUUCCAGCUUGCUACUUUGUUUUUUUUUGCUAUGCAAUGUACCCAAUUUAGCUUAACAUUGGUUUUUUAAUUUAUUAAUAGGGAACAAUAAUACAUAUGCUAUGGUGUUACUAGUGGGAUUAAAAAAAAUGAAGUCUUCAUUCUAGAAAUACGUGCUGAGUUCCUGUAAUAGAUACUGCUUUCUGCUGUAGCAAUUUGCUUCUAGUACUUACCCCCGGCUUUAAUCAAAUUUAUCUUAUGUUCACUGCUUAUGCCCAUCUGUCUUGGACUUGACUUUCAUCUUAUGAUACUCUGAAUAAAGAAGCAGAGCUAGAGAGGGAGGUGUUACAGACAGUAAAACACAUUCAAGGGCCUACAUAGAGAGGUGAAUAUCCUGCACAGAAAGGAAGAAGAAACAGACAGGAAACAUGCUUCACAGGCAAUUGCUAUAUCUUUUGCCUUAAAGUUUUAAAAGGCAAGUAUUAGCAAUAUAAUGAAGUCUUUCCCUUCAACGGUGUGUGUGUGAGCUAUAAUAUUUGGCCAAGAACUGGUGAUUUUCAAUGCUGGCUGAAAAGAGACCAGGAGAAUAUGCUGGGCACGGUGGCUCAACGCCUAUAAUCCCAGCACUUUGGGAGGCCGAGGCGGGUGGAUCACAAGGUCAAGAGAUCGAGACCAUCCUGGUCAACAAGGUGAAACCCCGUCUCUACUUAAAAUACAAAACAAAUUAGCUGGGCAUGGUGGCGCGCACCUGUAGUCCCAGCUACUCAGGAGGCUGAGGCAGGAGAAUUGCUUAAACCCAGAAAGCGGAGGUUGUGGUGAGCUGAGAUCAUGCCAUUGCACUCCAGGCUGGGUAACAAGAGCGAAACUCCGUCUCAAAAAAAAAUAAUAAAAUAAAUAAAUAAAUAUAUAUAUUUCAAGUAAUAUUGAGUUAAUGCUUAUAGUUACCUCUGUUGAAUACUUAUAUUUUCAUACACAGCAACAUAGCUACAUGUCCUAUCUCAUUUCAUACUUUCACAGAAACCUUAAACUAGCUCAUUUUUGUUAUUGAUUAAAAGGUGAGGAAACUGAAGCUUAUUAGUCCUGUGUCUACUAAGUGGAAAAGCUAAGAUUGAAAUCUGGUUUGUUUGAUUCUAAAACCUGAGCUUCUGUCUGUUAGGUUAAUUGAUGCUCC
Callithrix jacchus (white-tufted-ear marmoset) is the source of this 1602-nucleotide long non-coding RNA. NCBI's taxonomy places the organism in Eukaryota, Metazoa, Chordata, Mammalia, Primates, Cebidae. The record is from Ensembl.